UCCGAUGUGGUGUAUCGGCUAGCAUCACCCGCUUUCAUUAUGUAUUUCUUGUCUACUGAAGGUUGCCGGGUAGAGCCGGGUUCGACUCCCGGCAUCGGAA
Baudoinia panamericana UAMH 10762 is the source of this 100-nucleotide non-coding RNA. Lineage: Eukaryota; Fungi; Ascomycota; Dothideomycetes; Mycosphaerellales; Teratosphaeriaceae. The record is from the annotation of a RefSeq genome assembly.